This 160-nucleotide unclassified non-coding RNA is filed under the name uncultured Leotiomycetes. RNAcentral's name for it is "sequence contains ITS1". Lineage: Eukaryota; Fungi; Ascomycota; Leotiomycetes. The record is from RNAcentral.
CAGAGAUCAUGCCCUCAGCGGGUAGACCUCCCACCCUGUGUUAUUUACUUCGUUGCUUUGGCAUGCUAUUUUAUGCUCUUCGUGGGGCUGAGGUAUGCAUGCCAGAGGACUUUUUAACUCUGUUUUAAUGUUGUCUGAAUUGUAUAAAUUAAAGUUUUUA